RNAcentral lists this ribosomal RNA (460 nucleotides) under uncultured bacterium. RNAcentral describes it as "partial 16S ribosomal RNA". It matches the Rfam family "Bacterial small subunit ribosomal RNA", at positions 338 to 795 of the family's 1533-position model. The record is from RNAcentral.
CCUACGGGUGGCAGCAGUGAGGAAUAUUGGUCAAUGGCCGUGAGGCUGAACCAGCCAAGUCGCGUGAAGGAUGACGGCCCUAUGGGUUGUAAACUUCUUUUAUAGAGGAAUAAAGGUAUCCACGUGUGGCUGUUUGCAUGUACCCUAUGAAUAAGCAUCGGCUAACUCCGUGCCAGCAGCCGCGGUAAUACGGAGGAUGCGAGCGUUAUCCGGAUUUAUUGGGUUUAAAGGGUGCGUAGGUGGUUUUUUAAGUCAGCGGUGAAAGUUUGUGGCUCAACCGUAAAAUUGCCGUUGAUACUGGAAGACUUGAGUGUGGUUGAGGUAGGCGGAAUGCGUGGUGUAGCGGUGAAAUGCAUAGAUAUCACGCAGAACUCCGAUUGCGAAGGCAGCUUACUAAGCCACAACUGACACUGAAGCACGAAAGCGUGGGGAUCAAACAGGAUUAGAUACCCUAGUAGUC